Molecule: ribosomal RNA, 253 nt
Filed under: uncultured bacterium
Lineage: Bacteria
Description: partial 16S ribosomal RNA
Rfam family: Bacterial small subunit ribosomal RNA
Source: RNAcentral
UACGGGGGGGGCAAGCGUUGUUCGGAAUUACUGGGCGUAAAGGGCUCGUAGGCGGCCAACUAAGUCAGACGUGAAAUCCCCAGGCUCAACUUGGGAACUGCGUCUGAUACUGGAUGGCUUGAAUUCGGGAGAGGGAUGCAGAAUUCCAGGUGUAGCGGUGAAAUGCGCAGAUAUCAGGAAGAACACCCGUGGCUAAGGCGGUUCUCUAGUACGGUACUGACGCUGAGGCGCGAAAGCGUGGGGAGCAAACAGG